Molecule: ribosomal RNA, 289 nt
Filed under: uncultured bacterium
Lineage: Bacteria
Description: partial 16S ribosomal RNA
Rfam family: Bacterial small subunit ribosomal RNA
Source: RNAcentral
GUGGAUUAGAUACCCUAGUAGUCCGAGCCGUAAACGAUGGACACUGGGUGUAGAGGGUAUCGACCCCCUCUGUGCCGUAGCUAACGCGUUAAGUGUCCCGCCUGGGGAGUACGGUCGCAAGACUGAAACUCAAAGGAAUUGACGGGGGCCCGCACAAGCGGUGGAGCAUGUGGUUUAAUUCGAUGCAACGCGAAGAACCUUACCAAGGCUUGACAUGUAGGGAAUCCUGGUGAAAGCCGGGAGUGCCGCAAGGAACCCUAACACAGGUGGUGCACGGUCGUCGACAACU